UACGUAGGGUGCGAGCGUUAAUCGGAAUUAUUGGGCGUAAAGCGUGCGCAGGCGGUUUUAUAAGACAGAUGUGAAAUCCCCGGGCUUAACCUGGGAACUGCGUUUGUGACUGUAAGACUGGAGUGUGGCAGAGGGGGGUGGAAUUCCACGUGUAGCAGUGAAAUGCGUAGAUAUGUGGAGGAACAUCGAUGGCGAAGGCAGCCCCCUGGGUUAACACUGACGCUCAUGCACGAAAGCGUGGGGAGCAAAC
RNAcentral lists this ribosomal RNA (250 nucleotides) under uncultured bacterium. RNAcentral's name for it is "partial 16S ribosomal RNA". It matches the Rfam family "Bacterial small subunit ribosomal RNA", at positions 524 to 773 of the family's 1533-position model. The record is from RNAcentral.